Cornus florida is the source of this 2316-nucleotide long non-coding RNA. RefSeq lists it as uncharacterized. Lineage: Eukaryota; Viridiplantae; Streptophyta; Magnoliopsida; Cornales; Cornaceae. The transcript has 4 exons. The record is from RefSeq and is a predicted model, not a curated record.
ACAAUUAGAUAUAGGUGCCCCUGAUGCCAAAUAGACCCUAAUUGUAUAUUAUCUCCGAUCACAUCGGCUUCGACUUCGCAAACACCCAUCUCUUCUCUCUCCCCCGUAAAGAUCAGAAUUUUUGAUACAUAAAAACAAACCCAAAACCAGAUGCUAAAUAAUGUUCUCAAAAUUGGGCGCCAUUCCAGAGCUGAUACUAUGCUUUGGAGUCCUCCGUCUUUAUCAGUACAUUUCUACCCUUAAUUUCAGAAAAUGUUACUGUUUCCACCAUUGCAACUACUAUAAUAAAGAUGCAUCACUGUUACAUAUAAAUAUAUAUGUGUGUGUGUAUAUAUAUAUAUGGCAAUUACAUUGAUGAAUUGCAAUUAUAUUUCAUCGCUGUAUUUUACUGUUUCGGGUUGAAGUUGGGAUUCGGCUUCAGUGACCAUUUUUGGUCAGUAGUGAUGUUUUGUGUAAUAUGAAGUUCGUUGAUUUGAUUUAUGGUUUGACUGGUAUAGGAUCAAUUGAUUCAAUGGUUUAAUGUUGUUAUUUCAAAGACUAAAUGGUUUAUUGUAAUUCAGGAAAAGCAAUUAAAUUGUUUAUUGUAGUUAGGGGCAGAGGGUUUAGGUCAUGUUUGGUAAUACCAUUAUCUUACUCUUAGUGGUGGCUAAUUGGUUACUUUUAUGUCUCUGAACCAUCUCAACUAGCAUGUAUUUAUUUAUUUUCAUUAUCAAUAUGAUGCUCCUGCAGUUCUUAUUUAUAAUUGAAUUUCUUCUUGUUCUUCUUCUCAUUCAUCUUGAUAUCAUAUUGGAAAUGACAAACAUGUGAAGUUGCAUUGUAGCUUAAUCGCUUCCUCGAAUUUCCCAUUAUUGAUGCUCACUGCACUUUUGUGAUGCUUAGUUAUACUCCUUUUUUCUGCCUGUUUAUGCUGAUUUACUCUCCUUUUAUUCCGAAGACGAUGCAUCAUACAAAAGCUUUUAAUGCAAAGAAAUUUAAGGGGUUUUAUAAGUAAAUAAUACAGUUCCUUUCAUGGCUCUCCUACCAGGAGACCAGUUUUGUAGUAAAUGAGGUAUUUUCUGUUGCCCAUUGAUUUAAAUUUUCAUCUGGAUCAGCGUUCUUGAUUUAAGCUGGAAGUUUUCAACAAUUGGAUCUCAAAUAUUUUGGCUAAAUUUUAUUACUUACUCCUAAAAGCUUCGUGGGUCAAUGACAAACAUGCUUUGAUUUAGUUUAGGAUUGGAAGUUAGUAAAUGCUAAACUAGCCUUGCAGCAUCGUGGCUUUAGUUCAAGUUUGAUUUGAACAAUGAUGUUUGUCACUGUCAUUGGAUUAUUCGCUACCAGAAACUAAGGACCUCUCUACAUACUUGCAGAAAUGUGUACAGAGUCAUAAUGGGUAAUCCUGAUGUAUCUGAUUGCAUUCCAGGUCUUUCCAUAACGAGUCUUUGUCUUGAUCAUUGCUUCUUGAAAUUAUAUGAAAUUAAUUAUAGCAGGAAAUGCACUUACUGCUGGCGAAGACCAGCUGCCUCGGCAAAGAGCAAAUGUCACAUUGGGUUCCGGAUACCCCAGACCAUAAGCAUGUCGUAGCAGCAUUUCCUUCUCAUCUGCUGGGCCCUUGUAAAUAUAGAUAUUGCAAGGUAAAUGAAGAGAACUACAAGAAUUCAUUAGAACAUUGGUGGAUAUAAAGAGAUCAGAUUUACUAGCAAUGUAUACAUACAUACACACUCACAUGCAUAGAAUCAGAUGGACGCCGAAGGAUGAAGUGCUCGAUGGCCAAAGCAUUAAGUACUAUGCCACCCACAUUUAUUGCAGCCUGGAUUAGAAACCACAAUGGAGAGAGCAUGCUUAGGAGCAACAGCUGAUCCUUUGCUGUCUACUGACACCUUAUUCAGCUUGAGAUAUAUCCCUAUCAAGCACUCAAGAAGUUCUUCUGAGAGUUUAUUUGGGUUCUCAAUGACAAUUUCUAUAUCUAGAUGGCUAUGAUUUCGGCUUCUUCGCAGAUAUCUCGAGUUUUCAACAAUUUCCUCUGUUCCCACAUCCCAAAUCAAAAGGGUUAGAGCCUAGAGGCUUGAUUUUCGAUAAUGAUUUUAAUGUCCAAGAGAUUGAAAGAAAUGGAGAGUCGAAGACUUCAUAUCCGUUGGACACAAUUUAUUGAGGGUGAUGUGGAACCAGAUGAGUGUAUCCAUUGAAUGAGGAGCUUUCGGCUUCCCAUUUGGUUCAAACUCUUCCGUGUUAAUAGUAUUACGUACUAUUGAUUUUUUAUAAUUGAUCAAUGGCACAUGUAAUGGAUUGUAUACAGUAACAUUCUGUUCAGAGAUAAAUAAGAAGUUUACCUUUAGCACU